CCACGGGCCGCAGCAGUGAGGAAUUUUGCGCAAUGGGGGGAACCCUGACGCAGCAACGCCGCGUGAGUGAUGAAGGCUUUCGGGUCGUAAAGCUCUGUCAAGUGGGAAGAACCUAUGCAGUGUUAAUAUCACUGUAUACUGACGGUACCACUGAAGGAAGCACCGGCUAACUCCGUGCCAGCAGCCGCGGUAAUACGGGGGGUGCAAGCGUUAUUCGGAAUCAUUGGGCGUAAAGGGCACGUAGGCGGCUUGGUAAGUCAGAUGUGAAAGCCCGGGGCUUAACCCCGGAAGUGCAUUUGAUACUGUCAGGCUUGAGUAUGGGAGAGGGAAGUGGAAUUCCUGGUGUAGAGGUGAAAUUCGUAGAUAUCAGGAGGAACACCGGUGGCGAAGGCGACUUCCUGGACCAAUACUGACGCUGAGGUGCGAAGGCGUGGGUAGCAAACAGGAUUAGAUACCCUGGUAGUC
This 465-nucleotide ribosomal RNA is filed under the name uncultured bacterium. Its description in RNAcentral is "partial 16S ribosomal RNA". It matches the Rfam family "Bacterial small subunit ribosomal RNA", at positions 339 to 795 of the family's 1533-position model. The record is from RNAcentral.